RNAcentral lists this non-coding RNA (154 nucleotides) under Kryptoperidinium triquetrum. Lineage: Eukaryota; Dinophyceae; Peridiniales; Kryptoperidiniaceae. The record is from RNAcentral.
CCGGUGCAGGAAUCGGCAUGGCAGCGAUCGCUCCUGAUGCCCCUCCGACGGGCGCUGAGUACCCGGCAAACCAGCCUGUCAUGGGCAAAGUCAAGGUGUGGAGAGUUGACAAGGGCUUCGGCUUCCUAACGGCAGAACACGGUGGCCCGGACGU